RNAcentral lists this ribosomal RNA (424 nucleotides) under uncultured prokaryote. RNAcentral describes it as "bacterial SSU rRNA". It matches the Rfam family "Bacterial small subunit ribosomal RNA", at positions 355 to 796 of the family's 1533-position model. The record is from RNAcentral.
UGGGGAAUAUUGGACAAUGGGCGCAAGCCUGAUCCAGCCAUGCCGCGUGGGUGAAGAAGGCCCUAGGGUUGUAAACCCCUUUCAGCGGGGAAGAUAAUGACGGUACCCGCAGAAGAAGCCCCGGCUAACUCCGUGCCAGCAGCCGCGGUAAUACGGAGGAUGCAAGCGUUAUCCGGAAUUAUUGGGCGUAAAGCGUCCGCAGGUGGCACUUCAAGUCUGCUGUCAAAGACCAGAGCUCAACUCUGGGCAGGCGGUGGAAACUGGGGAGCUAGAGUACGGUAGGGGUAGAGGGAAUUUCCAGUGUAGCGGUGAAAUGCGUAGAGAUUGGAAAGAACACCAGUGGCGAAGGCGCUCUACUGGACCUGUACUGACACUAAGGGACGAAAGCUAGGGGAGCGAAAGGGAUUAGAUACCCCCGUAGUCC